ACUCCGGUUGAUCCUGCCGGCGGCCACCGCUAUAGGAAUUCGAUUAAGACAUGCGAGUCGAGAGUCGUAAUGGACUCGGCGCACUGCUCAGUAACACGUGGAUAACAUACCCUAAAGUGGAGCAUAAUCUCGGAAAACUGAGGAUAAUACUCCAUAGGUCACGAGAUCUGGAAAGACUUGUGGCUCAAAGUUCCGGCGCUUUAGGAUUGGUCUGCGGCCUAUCAGGUAGUAGUGGGUGUAACGGACCCACUAGCCGAUGACGG
RNAcentral lists this non-coding RNA (263 nucleotides) under Methanomassiliicoccales archaeon RumEn M2. RNAcentral's name for it is "Archaeal small subunit ribosomal RNA". It matches the Rfam family "Archaeal small subunit ribosomal RNA", at positions 1 to 266 of the family's 1478-position model. Lineage: Archaea; Methanobacteriati; Thermoplasmatota; Thermoplasmata; Methanomassiliicoccales. The record is from Rfam by way of RNAcentral.